GCCCAUCCCAGACAUAAAAUCAAGCACCACUAUUACUAAACGCAAAUCAAACAUUUCAACAAAUAACCUCAACGUUUAACUCCAAAUCACCAGCACAAAUUUACUCCAACAGUAAAUCAAACCUAACUAGACAAACUAGCCAAGAAAUCACUCUAAGCUCAAGUCAACAUAAUUGUCCAAUUAACCAUAAUUUAGAUAGGAAACUGAAAUAACUAACCCCCCAUAUCAUCCUACAAAAUACCUACACUCAAAUUAAACACAAACUAGCCAAUCUCUCAACAGCCAGUAGUAAAAUUAAAACCACACAUACGUUUAUGCAUGUAAG
RNAcentral lists this unclassified non-coding RNA (325 nucleotides) under Hevea brasiliensis (rubber tree). The record is from RNAcentral. Lineage: Eukaryota; Viridiplantae; Streptophyta; Magnoliopsida; Malpighiales; Euphorbiaceae.